Molecule: ribosomal RNA, 194 nt
Filed under: uncultured bacterium
Lineage: Bacteria
Description: partial 16S ribosomal RNA
Rfam family: Bacterial small subunit ribosomal RNA
Source: RNAcentral
CCUACGGGAGGCAGCAGUGGGGAAUUUUGGACAAUGGGCGAAAGCCUGAUCCAACAAUGCCGCGUGCAGGAAGAAGGCCUUCGGGUUGUAAACUGCUUUUGUACGGAACGAAAAGGUCUGCCUUAAUACGGUGGGCCCAUGACGGUACCGUAAGAAUAAGCACCGGCUAACUACGUGCCAGCAGCCGCGGUAAU